AUUUUUGUUCCAUUUAUUUUGGCUGUGGUAUAUUAGGAUUCUGCUGAAAAGAAAUAUGAGGGAAAACACAAGCAGAAAGAGCCACAUGGUGUUGAAUACAGAUUUGAAAUUCAUGAGCUUUGCAACAUCUUCACAUCAGGACAAAUAACCCCCCUGCUGUUGAAAUCACUUGCAUAAUUUAUAACUUUCAAAAUUGGAAUUGCAUCAUUGCUCCUUUGCAAUUAUCCUGUAGUCAAGCCUUUCACCUUAUUGAAAGCUUUUUCACAGAUUACAGACAUAACAUUCUUCAGGAGGAUGACUGUCAGUUGCUGCUAUUUUCAAGUGAAAUGACACACCAAUGCAAGAAAUUUACUCAAUAUUCCUUUAAACCAGUGGAAUAG
This 380-nucleotide long non-coding RNA is filed under the name Callithrix jacchus (white-tufted-ear marmoset). RNAcentral describes it as "lncRNA (ENSCJAG00000064312.2)". Lineage: Eukaryota; Metazoa; Chordata; Mammalia; Primates; Cebidae. The record is from RNAcentral.